RNAcentral lists this long non-coding RNA (2407 nucleotides) under Equus caballus (horse). RNAcentral's name for it is "lncRNA (ENSECAG00000051304.1)". The record is from RNAcentral. Lineage: Eukaryota; Metazoa; Chordata; Mammalia; Perissodactyla; Equidae.
UUUGAAGCUCCCAACUUGAUUUUAAUAUUCAUUUAAAUUUAAACCCCCAGAUUGAAAACCAGUGAUCUGUGACCUCCGCCUGGUCAGGUAGUGAUCAGCGUUUAUCUUAUAAAUAGACACGCCACUGACAGACUGUAGCAGCAAGAAAUAUAAUCAAGGUUUCACUUGAAACCAGGGUAGACUGGCAGCAAGUUGUGAUGAUAUAAGUUUGCAUACAGAGUUUAGGUCAGUAUUCUAGACUCCGAAAAUUUUUAAAGGACUUUGAAAGAUGCUUGGUACAAAGAAGACAGUCUAUGUGAAAUAAGCAAAUUACAGUGUACUCUGGCACCUGGAGGAACUGAACUGCUUGAUAGUGAACAGAAGAGGGCGCUCUGGCACAAGAAUCAUAUUGCAUUGUGGUCCCAAACCAGGUGUGAGGUGGGGGGUUGGCAUGAGAACAAGGCAAAAGCCCAGUUUGUGAAAUCAGGUUUUAUCAGUUAAGAUGAUUUGGAUGCAAGCAAUAAACUACCUGACUAAAAGUAGCUUAAAAAAUAAGUGUGUUAAUCUCAUAACUGAAAUUUGGGGGUAGGCAGCUUUAGGUUCAAUCCAGUUGAAUGCUCUCAGGACUCUAGACUGGUUCUUCUAUUCUGUGAUUCUCUUCGCUUUCCCUUUUUGCUCGCAAGAUGCCUGCCACAGCUGUAAGCAUUCUGUCUUCACACAGUUGCAUACAAAAGCAGGAAGAAAGGAGAAGUUGAAUCUGAACUGGUCUAUCCUCAGAAAUAAUCAGAAGAAAAAUAUUUUCUGGAACAACCUCCCUCCCCCAGCCCCAACAGACUUCCCUCAUGUUUCCCUGGCCAGAACUGAGUCGCAUGCCAACCUCUACAUUAAUCACUGUCAAAGAGAGUAACGGAAGAGUCUGUAUGGCUUUGGAGUUGGCGCAGAAAAUAGUAAUUACAACAACCACAACAACUCACAUGACCUUGGCCAGUUGGAGUCAACAUAUGAGUGCACACAAUCUUUAUCUACUCCAUAGGAUUCUGUUCUCUGGCCGAAGGCCUAUUCGUAAGAAAGAAAACAAUGUGCUCCAAGCUCCACCAGCGCAACUGGAAAAUGAGACCUUAAGCAAUCUAAUACGCAUAGACAGGUAUGUCAGGGAAGAAUUCUUAGGCUGUAACGCCUUAGCUGAGAUCUGAACCAUGAACAAGAAUUAAGGAUACAAAAAGAGAGGAAGGAGCAUUCCAUGCAGAAGAAAAGUCCAUGCAAAAGCCUUGUGGCAGGAGGGAGCAGAGCACAUAAACAGAGACUGGAGGAAGAACCAUGGGAGAUGAAGCUGGAAAGAGAAGUGACGUCAUAUGAGCGGUAUUCUAUAUGGGCCUAGCAUUCAGAGACUGGAUAUAUCAAUGUGUGAACAUUCAGCAUAUAGAUAAUGAUUACCUUGAGACUUCAAGAAUUCCAAUAUUGAGUGUUCAGGUAAAACAGUAUGAACCCACAAAAGAGAUAGGGAAGUAGCCAGUGAGGUAAGAAUAGGAGAAGUAAGAAAAGGAGAAGAGGAGAGUCUCAUAAGUCCCAGAAGCCAGGACUACCAAGGUUAAUGAGAGAUGCAAAAGCAUAUGAUGUAAAAUAACUUGAUCUUCAAUGAUAGGUGUUUGGUGAGAUGAUGGAGGGGUGAGCCUGACGGCAGAAGCCUAGGAAUAUAUGGAAACUGAGGAAAUGGAGCCAGGGAUAACGGCAACUUUUGGAAGAAGUUUGUCUAUGAAGGGAUGGAGAGAAAUUGGGAGGUACUAAAGGAUAAUGGGAGGUUGGAUUUAUAGCUGCUGUUUUAAUGAGAUACUUGGUUAGGCUUAAUAGACUAAAAAAAGGGGGAAUUUGAAUAGACAUUUUCUCUCUUUUUUGUUUUACCCUCCACCUGAGUCUUACUUCUUUCCCUAGUGAACUAAAGCCAUUGAGAAAACGUAAAGAGGAUGCGCCCAACAAAUUGAUAGUACACCUGCCUGCUUAGGGGAGACAUAGUUUCUUCUUCCUUGAAGGCUUCAGUUAAUAACAAUCAUAAUACUAUUAAUGACAUCGCCAGUAACAUUUCUAUAAAUUUUCUCAUCCUCAUAAAUGUACUACUCGUUUUAGGCAUUGUUAUAUACAUUUUACAGAUGAUGAAACUAAGUUUCAGAAUGGGUAAGCAACUUCCCAGAUGUCACACAGCUAACAUAUCCAGGAGUAAGAAUUAAAACACUGUAACAAUGACUUUAAAUUCUGUGUAGGUCACCCUGCCCGUUUUAUUCUAUCCUAACUGUAUCCAAAGUUUUGCAUUUGCUUUGGAGGUAGCAUCUUAGUCUUUCAUCGAAUGCCAAUAAUAAAUCUAAAUUCCUCAGUGUGGCAUUCAUUUCCCCUUGUUAUGUGGCCCCAACUUAACACUCCUAGGAAUAAUACAGCC